UGGGGAAUUUUGGACAAUGGGGGAAACCCUGAUCCAGCCAUCCCGCGUGUGCGAUGAAGGCCUUCGGGUUGUAAAGCACUUUUGGCAGGAAAGAAACGUCGCGGGUUAAUACCCCGCGAAACUGACGGUACCUGCAGAAUAAGCACCGGCUAACUACGUGCCAGCAGCCGCGGUAAUACGUAGGGUGCAAGCGUUAAUCGGAAUUACUGGGCGUAAAGCGUGCGCAGGCGGUUCGGAAAGAAAGAUGUGAAAUCCCAGAGCUUAACUUUGGAACUGCAUUUUUAACUACCGGGCUAGAGUGUGUCAGAGGGAGGUGGAAUUCCGCGUGUAGCAGUGAAAUGCGUAGAUAUGCGGAGGAACACCGAUGGCGAAGGCAGCCUCCUGGGAUAACACUGACGCUCAUGCACGAAAGCGUGGGGAGCAAACAGGAUUAGAUACCCUGGUAGUCCACGCCCUAAACGAUGUCAACUAGCUGUUGGGGGCCUUCGGGCCUUGGUAGCGCAGCUAACGCGUGAAGUUGACCGCCUGGGGAGUACGGUCGGCAAGAUUAAAAACUU
RNAcentral lists this ribosomal RNA (557 nucleotides) under uncultured bacterium. Its description in RNAcentral is "partial 16S ribosomal RNA". It matches the Rfam family "Bacterial small subunit ribosomal RNA", at positions 355 to 902 of the family's 1533-position model. The record is from RNAcentral.